GAUGAACGCUGGCGGCGUGCCUAAUACAUGCAAGUCGAGCGAACAGACGAGGAGCUUGCUCCUCUGACGUUAGCGGCGGACGGGUGAGUAACACGUGGAUAACCUACCUAUAAGACUGGGAUAACUUCGGGAAACCGGAGCUAAUACCGGAUAAUAUAUUGAACCGCAUGGUUCAAUAGUGAAAGACGGUUUUGCUGUCACUUAUAGAAGGAUCCGCGCCGCAUUAGCUAGUUGGUAAGGUAACGGCUUACCAAGGCGACGAUGCGUAGCCGACCUGAGAGGGUGAUCGGCCACACUGGAACUGAGACACGGUCCAGACUCCUACGGGAGGCAGCAGUAGGGAAUCUUCCGCAAUGGGCGAAAGCCUGACGGAGCAACGCCGCGUGAGUGAUGAAGGUCUUCGGAUCGUAAAACUCUGUUAUUAAGGAAGAACAAAUGUGUAAGUAACUAUGCACGUCUUGACGGUACCUAAUCAGAAAGCCACGGCUAACUACGUG
RNAcentral lists this ribosomal RNA (497 nucleotides) under uncultured bacterium. RNAcentral's name for it is "partial 16S ribosomal RNA". It matches the Rfam family "Bacterial small subunit ribosomal RNA", at positions 28 to 507 of the family's 1533-position model. The record is from RNAcentral.